This 165-nucleotide long non-coding RNA is filed under the name Cavia porcellus (domestic guinea pig). RNAcentral's name for it is "lncRNA (ENSCPOG00000037361.1)". The record is from RNAcentral. Lineage: Eukaryota; Metazoa; Chordata; Mammalia; Rodentia; Caviidae.
UUUUGCAUGAGGCAUUUGGUGAGAGCUGGAUGAAGACAGAAGGUGUGGGUCUGAGCUGGGCCAGCAGCGUCCCCCACACGUGCCUGACCCUCUCUCUCUCCGGUUCCUGUAUCAGCGAAAGGAGUCUUGAGAUGCACCCUUGGAUGCUUUUUGCCUCUGUGGAAC